AAACUUUCAACAACGGAUCUCUUGGUUCUGGCAUCGAUGAAGAACGCAGCGAAAUGCGAUAAGUAAUGUGAAUUGCAGAAUUCAGUGAAUCAUCGAAUCUUUGAACGCACAUUGCGCCCGUCCAGCAUUCUGGCGGGCAUGCCUGUUCGAGCGUCAUUU
Molecule: ribosomal RNA, 159 nt
Filed under: Akanthomyces muscarius
Lineage: Eukaryota; Fungi; Ascomycota; Sordariomycetes; Hypocreales; Cordycipitaceae
Description: 5.8 S ribosomal RNA
Rfam family: 5.8S ribosomal RNA
About the family: 5.8S ribosomal RNA (5.8S rRNA) is a component of the large subunit of the eukaryotic ribosome. It is transcribed by RNA polymerase I as part of the 45S precursor that also contains 18S and 28S rRNA.
Source: RNAcentral